This 23-nucleotide unclassified non-coding RNA is filed under the name Mus musculus (house mouse). Its description in RNAcentral is "oocyte_clustered_small_RNA1343". Lineage: Eukaryota; Metazoa; Chordata; Mammalia; Rodentia; Muridae. The record is from RNAcentral.
UGAGGUAGUCUCUGUCCUUUUCC